CCUUCGCGGGCUCCUCACCCAUCCCCUCCAAAUCCUUCAUCGGCGGCACCUCUCACCGUUGCACCGCCGUUGUCCGAAGCUCCAUCACACCCCUUUCCCAAUCUCUCCGUCACACCCGUUCACCAGUCUCUCUCUUUCAGCUUCGACGCCGAUGAAUUUCGCAACCCUCUCAACACCGUUUUCUGUCGCUGCUCGUUGAAGCUCGUUAGCGUCGUCGCCGCUUCUACCUUUUCUUCUCAUCGCCGUUGAUUCAGAGAUUUAUCCCAGCUGAAUUUGGAGCAGACCCUACCAAAGUUCAAAUAUAUGACUUGGAGGAUGGCCACAAUUUAUACGCACCCAAACUCAAAAUUUGCCAGAUGGUUGAGGCCGAACACAUUCCAUAUACCUGCAUUUGCUACAAUUUCUUCAUGAAGAUUUUGCUCCCUUCUCUUGUUCAGCCAGGCUUAAAUGCUCUUCCUAGUGACAAGGCGUAUUUGUUAAGGAAAAUGAUGUCGCUGCCUUCACUAUUAGCACAGUUGAUAAACCCCGCACCUUGAACAAACUGUUGUACUUGAGACCUUCAAAAAACAUUUGUUCUCUGAAUGAACUAGUCGAGAUGUGGGAAACUAAAAUUGGGAAGAAGCUUGAGAAAUCACACAUCUCAGAAGAAGAGCUGAUCAAGAAAAUUGAAGGUAAUACUUUGACUUCAAAUUGAUUGUGACUAUGUUGCUGCUUCUUGUCACUUUUGUCAAUUAAGCAUCAAGAUUCUAGAUGGCAUGAAAAAUCAUCUCAUGUUAAGACUGACAGGGAUAUGAAGUUUCUACUUAGAUAUAGAGAAAUGUAAGGAAAACUUCUUGUCGCUUUAGUCUGAAACUUUCAAACCCUCAAAACUUAAAGGGGUUUGGUUUUGUUUCGCUUCCAUUGUGUUUCACUCACUCUUCGCUUUCAAUUCAUCCAUUCCCAAUCAGAAUCAAAAUCAGAAUCAGAAUCAGAAUCAGAAUCAGAAUCAGGUCUCAGCUUCGAACCCUCUUUCCUUACUUAUAAUUUGAUUUUCAUUCUAAUCGUACCCUAAUAUCUCCUUCUCUUUGUUUCAGCUGCUUCUUUUGCUAUGGCUUCCACUUCCCAAAAGGAAAUUAUUUCUGAUGGCAAGGCUGCUUUAGCAGAGAAAAAAAUUCCAAAGAUGAAACAUCUUCGAAAGAUUCACAGGGAGAACAAAAAGCUGCUUCUAAAUCUUUUGUUUGUUUAGAUGACAAGGCUGCUGCAACAGAGAAUAAAAACUCCAAGGAUGAAACAUCUUCGAAAGAUUCACAGGGAGGACAAAGAGCUACUUCUGGAUCUGCACCUGGGUUUCCACCCAACCCUUUUGAUUUCUCCGCAAUGUCUGGUUUGCUCAAUGAUCCAAGUAUCAAGAAACUGGCUGAGCAGAUAGCAAAAGACCCAUCGUUCAAUCAAAUGGCUGGGCAGCUUCAGAAAACUUUUCAUGGUGCAACACAGGAUAGUAUCCCUAGCUUCGAUAAUUAGCAACGUUAUUCUACCAUGCAGCAGGUGAUGCAGAAUCCUAACUUCAUGACCAUGGCUAAGCGCUUGGGUAAUGCAUUGAUGCAGGUAUUUAUAAACUUCUUGUACUCUGUUAUAUAAAAUAGCUAUUGGUUG
Molecule: RNA transcript, 1632 nt
Organism: Arachis duranensis
Lineage: Eukaryota; Viridiplantae; Streptophyta; Magnoliopsida; Fabales; Fabaceae
Gene name: probable pinoresinol-lariciresinol reductase 3
Exons: 5
Source: RefSeq, a predicted model, not a curated record